Long non-coding RNA from Parus major (Great Tit), 1494 nucleotides. The record is from Ensembl. Lineage: Eukaryota; Metazoa; Chordata; Aves; Passeriformes; Paridae.
GGACUUGAGCCAGAGCAGGGCAAUGGGCUGUGCAUCUCCAUCUGCUGCUGGGACACCAAUGUUUGGAAAACUGCUUAAUCCACACUGGAAAUUGAAAGGUGAGAUCCCACAGGACCAUCACUCUGCGAUGGGAGCACAGGGCACCUGCAGAGCUCUGGGUUCCUCCAGACCUGCCCUGGACCUCAGCCUGUGGACCUAAAACCCAACACCCUCCACAGAGAUUCUGCCUGAGCCCAGAGCACCAAAAACAUCUCCAUCCCUCAUCUCCAGCCUUCAUCUUCAUCCCUCAUCUCCAUCCCUCAUCUCCAGCCUUCAUCUCCAAUCUUCAUCUUCAACCUUCACCUCCAGCCUUUAUCUCCAACCUUCAUCUCCAUCCCUCAUCUCCAUCCUUCAUCUCCAUCCCUCAUCUCCAUCCUUCAUCUCAAUCCCUCAUCUCCAUCCCUCAUCUCCAACCUUCCUCUCCAUCCUUCAUCUUCAACCUUCACCUCCAGCCUUUAUCUCCAACCUUCAUCUCCAUCCCUCAUCUCCAUCCUUCAUCUCCAUCCCUCAUCUCCAUCCUUCAUCUCCAACUCUCAUCUCCAACCCUCAUUUCCAACCUUCAUCUCCUUCCCUCAUCUCCAAUCUUCGUCUCCAACCCUCACCUCCAGUAUUCAUGUCCAUCCCUCAUCUCCAUCUUCAAUUUUCAUCUCCAACUCUCAUCUCCAACCUUCAUUUCCAUCCCUCCUCUCCAUCCCUCACCUCCACCUCUCCCUUCCCAGGGAAGCUGUGGCCAUCCCUGGAUCCCUCUCAGUGUCCCAGGCCAGCUUGGACAGGGUUUGGAGCACGGUGGGACAGUGGCAGGUGUCCCUCCCCCCCAACCAGAAUUCCAGGAUUCUGGAUCUGUCCCCACUGAAGCAUCCCAAGGAUCCAAUCCUGCAAUCCCAGCUGGAUUUCCCUGCGGAACGGCUGCAACCUCACGAAAACCUCGAGGAACGCCGGAGCAGCGCGUUCCUGUUCACACCAGCUUUAAAACAACUUCCAAAAAUGUCUUUUUUUUUAAUAAAUUCUGCUCUGGAAGUGGCUGGCUCGGAACAGCUGCAGAGUUUUCCUGGGAAUUCUCCUGGGAAUCCUCCCAGGACAGCAGCUGGAGCUCCCAGAAGUUUCCUCGCUGCUCCAAAGGCAGCUCCCAUACGAUGGCAGCAGAGGCCUGCAGCUGCUUUGAAGGAAUUUUUUGCCCAGUAUUUUUAUUUUUUUUCCCCAAAGACAAUUCCUUGCUUUGGUUUUAUUUUAGUUUUGGGUUUUUUUAAAAAAAUUUUCCGUUCUAUUCCCUUUUUUAAUUUCAUUGAAAGAACUCUUCUCUGAGAAACUGAAAUAGAAACAAAGCAAAAAUCACCCUGAAACAAAAGGAAAUUGCAUCCUUAAAUUACCAAGAUGAUGACGUCACCAUGACUGCAACAUUUUUGCUGAAAAUUUAAAUUAAAUAAAUGUACAAAAAUAAUGAGCCUGUUUCUUUUC